This 228-nucleotide ribosomal RNA is filed under the name Triticum aestivum (bread wheat). RNAcentral's name for it is "partial small subunit ribosomal RNA". The record is from RNAcentral. Lineage: Eukaryota; Viridiplantae; Streptophyta; Magnoliopsida; Poales; Poaceae.
AUGCGGCGGGAAGAAGUGGCAUUUAGAAGUGUUGCUGACUUUACAUUUAGGUUUCGGCAUAACAAAGCUUGCACUGUCUUUUCGCACUUAGGCGCACAGCGUGCCGUUGGUAAUGAUUCUACUACGGUGCUGCAAAUUCGCAAGCUGAUCCUAAGUAAUCGUUUGUGUUCAUUGGAUUCCUCCGGAAUUACUUCGUUAGGAUUGAAGAAUUGCUGCAAUUCUUCCUGA